AAAACUUUAAAGUUGCUCGUGGCAGAAAUACGACGAUGUACUGGGAGAAAUCUAGUCAGACAAUAUUCAAGCGUUAGAGAUAUUUUGCUAAUGAUCGUAUUUGUGAAUAACAUCGUGCGACAUGAUGAUCCAUAACAUGUGGAACAAUUGGGCACGGGGUAAUUCUAUGUGAAAAAAUAAGUUGAAAAUAUGGAAUAAAAAGGUUUUCAUACGACGCUUUGUUUCUGAGAAAAUUGCCAUACAUUCGAAAAUAAAUAAAAAUUGCGAAAUAACAUUUUUCCGUCUAAGCCUCCACUUUCAAGCAAAUAAUGUUUCAACAUGUUUGUUUAGUUAAGAAUUGUUCUGUUACACUUUAACGAAUUUUUAAAAUGAAAAGAAUAUAAUAAAAAUAUAAUAAGUAUUCGUACAGUUACCGUUCUAUGCGAUGAAACGUACGUAGAUGCUUUAAAAAAUAAUCUACAUCAAAGUGCAUAAAAAGAAUGGGUUUGACAGACAAUGUUAUCGUGACGUAAGAUAAC
Molecule: long non-coding RNA, 518 nt
Organism: Bombus huntii
Lineage: Eukaryota; Metazoa; Arthropoda; Insecta; Hymenoptera; Apidae
Exons: 2
Source: RefSeq, a predicted model, not a curated record